CUAGGUUGCCUACCUCAAAGGUCAAUUUUGAAGUGACAUUAAAGAACAUGCAAAAUUCCUUCACAGCUAUUGCAGGAUAGGAGAUGGCAUUACAAAAUAGUUAUUACAAAAAGAAGACAGGACAGAGGUGACUGGUCUAGAAGAUCAUACCAUUUUUAAGUUGCAGCAAAAACCAUAGAGGAGAACAUCUCUCCUGUAAAAUAAGGGGUAUAAGCAUUCAAGAUAAUAGCCAACACUGGUCCUUCUGGGAUCAGAAUCAGGGAGGCAAUAGGGCCCAGAAUAACUCUUACACAAUGGAAUACUACGCUGCAGUAAAAAAGAAGGAAUUCUUACCAUUUGCAACAGCAUGGAUGGAAC
Molecule: long non-coding RNA, 357 nt
Organism: Myotis myotis
Lineage: Eukaryota; Metazoa; Chordata; Mammalia; Chiroptera; Vespertilionidae
Exons: 3
Source: RefSeq, a predicted model, not a curated record